RNAcentral lists this long non-coding RNA (206 nucleotides) under Monodelphis domestica (gray short-tailed opossum). RNAcentral's name for it is "lncRNA (ENSMODG00000037061.1)". Lineage: Eukaryota; Metazoa; Chordata; Mammalia; Didelphimorphia; Didelphidae. The record is from RNAcentral.
UUAACAUCCCAGGUAAAGAGAAUAAAGUGUUUUAAAAAUAACUAACACAGAUAUAUUUUUGUCUCCUCUCUGAAGAGCUGAUAACUGGAUCGCUGACUCUAACCCUAACUUUAAGCAAGUUGGAACACCCUUGAGUUUUGAGAGUGAGGAGCAUAGAAGAAAUAGAAUUGUAAUUUUCUUCUUGAGCUGCUUUGAGUCCACUACCU